AUGUAUAUAUAUAUAUAAAUCGGCUCAUGUCGCUCCCACACUUCCAAACCUUCAGUGCCUCACAGGAUUUCUCUUCCAAGAGCAUCCAAAGUCCCAAGCAAGACCUCCUAGGCCAGCUGGUCACUCCAUCUCUCAGGCCCUGCCCUCCACCCACACUGGCCCCAGUGCUCCCGUUUGCACCUGCCAAGUUCUGUCCUGCCUCAGGGACUGGCACUUGCUGUUCCCUCAGGGGGACUUCUCUUUUCCAUCCCUUCUCAGCUCAGGUGGCAUUCCCUUUGCACAGCAGAAAUUAGCACAACAUUUUAAGACAACCAUACUUUAAUGAAAAAAGAAAAGAGGAGUUCCCACUGUGGGUCAGUGGGUUAAGAACUUGACAAAGGAUGCAGGUUCAAACCCCUGGCCUCACUCAGUGGGUGAAGAAUCUGAUGUUGCCACAAGCUGCAGCAGAAGUCGCAAAUGCAGCUCUAGCCCGGGAAAUUCCAUAUGUCAUAAAUUCGGCCCUUAAGAAGAAAAGAAAGAAAAAAAAAAAGAAAGCGUUUCUCGAAGAUACUCUGAGGCAGUCCCACACCCAUCUCCACUGCUCCCUUUCACGUGACCUUGUUCCCGUCUGCCUCAGCACCGGUCCCCGGGUGUUACUGCUCAUCUCUGCAGAGUUCAGCAAAGGCCUGGCCGUGGGAGGUGGACGAGAAUGAUUUCAGAUUUUAAACGUUUUAUCUGAAAGGGAAUUAAAUGAAUCAACUGUGCUUGUAGGAAGAAAAAAAACUUUGCAUUGGCUUCAACAAGGAAAAGAUACAUUGCCGGAGAAUGUUAUUAUAUGCGGUAAUUUAAAACACAUAUCAAAUCUACUUUCCUCUAAUAGAAAGGACACAGCCUUUCUGAAAAUGAAAGGGACAUGAAAGAUAUGUUUCUCGUGCCGUUUGAUGAAAUGUUUGACAGAACAUAAAACCCCUGAGAGUCUUUGGGUCUGAUGCUCUCGGAGGCCAUUCGCCAUGAUUUCUGGUCUUGCGGUUGCUUCAGGAUAAAGUAUGAGCACUCACCUAACGUGAAAAGUCAGAUCUGACCAUCUGGCUCGAUUUCAGCACCAUCUUCAAAAUUUCCUCUCAGAAUUAAAAAAAAGAAGGAAAGAAAAACCACUGAUUGAGUAGAUUUAUUAAUACAACGGAGAGCGGGGUCAUGGAACUAACUGGGUUUAAUGCAGAAAUGUUUGAGAAACAUACUUUUCAUCACAGUUGUGUAGCCAGUCCUACAGUAAAUAUUUAAAUGCAUGUAGGGAUCCUCUUAAAGAUUCUCAGAACCCCUGAACCCACUGAGGCACAGUUUGUAGCAAUUAUUACUUGACUG
Molecule: long non-coding RNA, 1341 nt
Filed under: Sus scrofa (pig)
Lineage: Eukaryota; Metazoa; Chordata; Mammalia; Artiodactyla; Suidae
Description: lncRNA (ENSSSCG00030044838.1)
Source: RNAcentral